Molecule: ribosomal RNA, 459 nt
Filed under: uncultured bacterium
Lineage: Bacteria
Description: partial 16S ribosomal RNA
Rfam family: Bacterial small subunit ribosomal RNA
Source: RNAcentral
CCUACGGGAGGCAGCAGUGAGGAAUAUUGGUCAAUGGUCGGGAGACUGAACCAGCCAAGCCGCGUGAGGGAGGAAGGUACAGAGUAUCGUAAACCUCUUUUGUCAGGGAACAAAGGCGGGGACGUGUCCCCGGAUGCGUGUACCUGAAGAAAAAGCAUCGGCUAACUCCGUGCCAGCAGCCGCGGUAAUACGGAGGAUGCGAGCGUUAUCCGGGUUUAUUGGGUUUAAAGGGGGCGCAGGCGGUCUGUUAAGUCAGCGGUCAAAGCCCGGGGCUCAACCCCGGCCCGCCGUUGAAACUGGCAGUCUCGAGUUGGAGAGAAGUAUGCGGAAUGCGCGGUGUAGCGGUGAAAUGCAUAGAUAUCGCGCAGAACUCCGAUUGCGAAGGCAGCAUGCCGGCUCCACACUGACGCUGAGGCACGAAAGCGUGGGUAUCGAACAGGAUUAGAUACCCUGGUAGUC